Ribosomal RNA from Colobus angolensis palliatus, 89 nucleotides. The record is from Ensembl. Lineage: Eukaryota; Metazoa; Chordata; Mammalia; Primates; Cercopithecidae.
GUCUAUGGCCAUACCAACCUGAACAUGCCCAAUCUCAUCUGAUCUUGGAAUAAUAAAUAAAUUAGAAAAAAGGCUGGGUGCGGUGGCUC